Molecule: long non-coding RNA, 3038 nt
Filed under: Canis lupus familiaris (dog)
Lineage: Eukaryota; Metazoa; Chordata; Mammalia; Carnivora; Canidae
Description: lncRNA (ENSCAFG00000052400.1)
Source: RNAcentral
UUGAUGGGAGUAGGGGCAGAGGAUGUUGUCAGAGCAGCCUUUCUGGAGGAAUUUUUGUCUGAGCUGAAAUAGGAAUUACAAGGUGGUGGAGGAGGAGGAGGGCUUUCUGGGAAAAGGGAGCAGUGUGUGAAAAAGGUAAGAAAGCACAUGUGUGGCCUGUUUAGGGAACUAUAGUCCUGAGUGGCUUGAUUAGGGAAGGAUAGGAUAUGUGAGGGAGGAAGAGGGACUGGUGAGAUUUGAGGCUGGGUGGUUGGCAGCCAUUGAAUAAAAAAAGUGCUUUGUAUGUUAUGCUCAGACAUUUAUGCUAAAAGUAACAAAGAAAUGUAAGCCCCAAGGUGACACGGUAAGGUCUGUGUUUUGGAUCAGCGUAGAAACUGCAACGUAUUCCUAAAAGACUAAGUGAUCCCCAGCAAAGAUAAUUAGAGGCCACUGACUAUCUCUCUAAAUCUUUCCCAGCAUUAAUUUUGAAUUAAAGGGUUUACAUGCUAAGGUAAUGUAAUAAUAGAAGGGUGACAUGAAUUAGUUUCUCUAUCCUCUCUUAUUAAGAAAACAUUUUGCAUGUUGGUAUAACACACUGACUUAGAUGACUAAAAUUAGAGACUAAAAUUAAAGCCAGCAAUUGGUGCUGGGCCUCUUAAGGGAUCUGGUGUGAGGUUGAACAAACCUGAGUGCCUCCUGUAGGCCAGGCACUGUUCUAGGAGCUGACGGUAGAAUGACUUGGGCAUCUACAGUCUGGUGGAGGGACAGACUUGUAUGUGAAUGCUUAUGUACUAGGUUCCUUUACAUACCUCUUCACUUGCCAUCUGACCUCAUAGCUUUACAGUAUGGAUGAGGAAACCAAGGGUGAGAGAGGUAUUCUUUUUUCCUAACUUCAUCGAGAGAUAAUUGAAUAUAACAUCGUGUGUCUUUGAAGUGUGCAGUGUGGUUUGAUAUACGUAUGUAUCACAAAAUACUUACACAGUGCUGUCACCAUACCUAAACAACAACAAACAACAAUUUCCUAAUAUCAAAUAUAGUCAGCAAAGUGUUUUCUUUAUGAUUGAGGGAAAAUCCUUUUUUCUUUUGAAACUAAAUCUAGAGACUUGAUUGAUCAUUUUUUGGGGGAGAAGUAAUGAAAAUUGGUAGCCUUUUUUUGUUGUUUCUUGACACUACUAAAUACUUCAUAUAACCCAUAUGAAGAUGAAAACUAACAAUAUAAGGACUCCUCGAAUUGUUUGGGUAGAAUUGGGUACAGAUUAUUAUCUAGUUUUUACAUGUCAGUAAACUGACUCAAAGAAAUGAUUUGUCAACCGUCAUAUAAACUGCAAACACCUUGUGCUGAAAUCUGUCAUUUGAAUCAUGCUCAUUCCAUAAAUAUUUAUUGAGUUCAAGAAACUUGCUAUUUAUAUUUCUUUAUAAAUGCCUAUGACCCACAUUAUUUUUAUAGCAAGGACAUUCUUCUCUUUGAUUACCCAAUUUCUUCUAUCUUUUGUUGUCUUAGAAUUUUAAAGCCCUUUCCCCCUCCUCUGUCCUACCCUAGUUUUUAGCUGAUGGCAUGACUUCAGGGUAACAGAGGGGAAAUUUUGGUCUCCAGCAGAGGGUCAGUUGCAACUAUGAAAACAACUCAGGCAAAUGGUCUAUUGAUAGUAGAACUUUUCAUUAUAAAAAGUUCCUUUCAAAUUCCAGAAUAUUGGUUGCUUGGUCACUGAAGAGUCUGUCCUACCAUUCACUAGCACCCUGGGUGUCUGAGCAGACCUGGUGAGGAAUGCACUGCUCAUUUUGAAUGAGAAGAAAAGGGAUAGAGAAGCCGCCUAAAACAUUGCACCACCUAACUCAAACAUUCUAUAGGUGACAUAUAGUUGAUACAGAGUAUUAGUCUUUUAGGAUAUACCCUAGCAUACAAAUGAUUUUCAUUUUGAGCGGUGCCAUCCUUGACUAUAGCCACAAUUCUUUUAAUGUACAUUAAAAUGGGCAUUGGUGAAAGCUCAUUGCUUUCCUGGUCUCUGUGGGUGAGAAAAUUUGCUUUAAUGUGUCAAAUUUGGUGCCAGUUGUUGUCAAAUCAACAGAAUACGGCAGCGUACCUACCUUCUUUUGUUCCCCUUCUUUAAUUUUUAAGCCCUUGGAUCUCAUAAUUUCCCCCAAAGUUGCAUAUACUGUCCACUCCACAAUGAGCAGAAGCGGUAGUGCUGAUGAAAUCUGCCCUCGAUAGUGGUCAGUUAUAGAUCUGGAAUGUUUAUUCCCCUGGGCUUUCCAGCUGAGGGAGCCCGGCAUGAACUCCUACUUUGGAAAAUAUCUGAGUGGGCAGACUCAUUUGCCACAUUGCCCUCAUUGUCUGUCUUUGUUUAUUCAGCUGAAAAGCUGUACUUGUCUCUCACACAGCCAGGCAUGAAUCUCAAGGUCUCAGACGCUGUUAAAAUGGGCAGAAAAACUGGGGAAGGGAAAGAAUGGAAAUGGUUAUCAGAUACUGACAUACCGCGCGGCGAAGGCGCGUCUCAGGGAAGAGCAUGAUGUUAGGUGGUUAUAAAGUCCAACUCUGAGAACGUUUUUAUGGGCCUGUUUUAUAGGAUCUUUGAUUUCCUGUGAUUUCUCCUACCUUUUGGGAAAGAGACAUUUGAUAAUUCAUCAGCAAACAUGAUUUGAUUUUGCCACAAUAGGAAACUAGGUUUUUAGGACAUCCGCGUACCACUGAGCCCAGGUAGUGAUAAAUUUCCUGUGGUCGUAAUAACGUGCACAUGCUCUUGGCAUUUAUUUCUCUGGCUGUGUUUAUCUCUCAACUGGAUUAUUUUAGCAGCCUACUAAAAGGUCUCUUUGCCUUCGUUCUUUCCCAGUCCAUUCUUUACACUGUAGACCAAGUUAUGUUUCUAGAAUGUACAUCUGGGGGCACCUGCUGGCUCAGUCGGUUGAGUGUUGGGGACUCUUGAUUUCAACCCAGGUCGUGAUCUCAGGGUUAUGAGAUCGAGCCCUGUGUGGGCUCUGCACUCAGCGGGGAGUCCACUUGGGAUCCUCUGUGUUCCUCUUGCCCCUCCCCUGCUCCUUCCCCACGUGCUCUCUCUCUCAAA